AUUGAACGCUGGCGGCAGGCCUAACACAUGCAAGUCGAACGAGUGGCGGACGGGUGAGUAAUGUCUGGGAACCUGCCUGAUGGAGGGGGAUAACUACUGGAAACGGUAGCUAAUACCGCAUACCAUCAGAUGUGCCUCGAUGGGAUUAGCUAUGUGGGGGGGUAACGGCUCACCAACGCGACGAUCACUAGCUGGUCUGAGAGGAUGACCAGCCACACUUGAACUUAGACACGGUCCAGACUCCGACGCGAGGCAGCAGUGGGGAAUAUUGCACAAGGGGCGCAAGCCUGAUGCAGCCAUGCCGCGUGUAUGAAGAAGGCCUUCGUGUUGUAAAGUACUUUCAGCGGGGAGGCGUUACCCGCAGAAGAAGCACCGGCUAACUCCGUGCCAGCAGCCGCGGUAAUUC
RNAcentral lists this ribosomal RNA (406 nucleotides) under uncultured bacterium. RNAcentral describes it as "partial 16S ribosomal RNA". It matches the Rfam family "Bacterial small subunit ribosomal RNA", at positions 30 to 526 of the family's 1533-position model. The record is from RNAcentral.